This is an unclassified non-coding RNA of Callithrix jacchus (white-tufted-ear marmoset), 283 nucleotides long. It matches the Rfam family "Metazoan signal recognition particle RNA". From Rfam's summary of the family: The signal recognition particle (SRP) is a universally conserved ribonucleoprotein. It is involved in the co-translational targeting of proteins to membranes. Lineage: Eukaryota; Metazoa; Chordata; Mammalia; Primates; Cebidae. The record is from Ensembl.
GCUGGGCACGGUGGUGCAUGCCUGCGGCGCAGCUACUCAGGAGGCUGAGGCGGGAUAGCCUGAGUCCCGGAGUUCGAGGCUGUGUGGACUGAGUGUCCGCACUAAGUCUGGCAUCAAAAUGGCACUUCCCCUCCUUAGAGGCCACCAGGUUUCCUAAGGAGGGGUGAAUAAGCCCAGGUCAGAAAUGAAGCAGGUCAAAAUCCUGUACUCAUCAGGAGUGGGACUGCACUUCUGAACAGCCACUGCACUGGACCCUGAGCCACACAGUGACGCUCUGACUCUU